UAAACAGCCGCCUAAUUACCACCAUGAUUAUUACCGACACAGAGGAUGUUGGGGCAGGCUGCUAAGCGAAAUUUAUAAAAAGGCCUGUAUCCAACAAGAUACAGGCCUUUUUUUU
Regulatory RNA element from Vibrio sp. qd031, 115 nucleotides. NCBI's taxonomy places the organism in Bacteria, Pseudomonadati, Pseudomonadota, Gammaproteobacteria, Vibrionales, Vibrionaceae. The record is from Rfam.